UACGUAGGGGGCGAGCGUUGUCCGGAUUUAUUGGGCGUAAAGAGCGUGUAGGCGGCCGAGUAAGUCCGGUGUGAAAACUCGAGGCUUAACCUCGAGAUGUCAUCGGAAACUAUUCGGCUAGAGUCCGGAAGAGGAGAGUGGAAUUCCUGGUGUAGCGGUGAAAUGCGCAGAUAUCAGGAAGAACACCUAUGGCGAAAGCAGCUCUCUGGGACGGUACUGACGCUGAGACGCGAAAGCGUGGGGAGCGAACAGG
RNAcentral lists this ribosomal RNA (253 nucleotides) under uncultured bacterium. RNAcentral's name for it is "partial 16S ribosomal RNA". It matches the Rfam family "Bacterial small subunit ribosomal RNA", at positions 524 to 776 of the family's 1533-position model. The record is from RNAcentral.